CUGCAGCCAUUUAAGCCUGCCAGUUUCCUUUCCCCAUGGGGUCCAGUGAGCAGUGGCUGCGAACAGCAGCCCUCUUGGUUGUGUAUGUAACCUGCUGCUUGUACAAGUUGCUCUAAGGGACCUUGCAGAGUCUU
This is a small nucleolar RNA of Jaculus jaculus (lesser Egyptian jerboa), 134 nucleotides long. Its record names the gene SNORA70. It matches the Rfam family "Small nucleolar RNA SNORA70". Rfam says of the family: snoRNA U70 seems to be exclusive to mammals and is a member of the H/ACA class of snoRNA which contain H (ANANNA) and ACA box motifs. H/ACA box snoRNAs are involved in the conversion of uridines to pseudouridines (5-ribosyluracil) a constituent of structural RNAs (transfer, ribosomal, small nuclear, and small nucleolar). The record is from Ensembl. Lineage: Eukaryota; Metazoa; Chordata; Mammalia; Rodentia; Dipodidae.